RNAcentral lists this small RNA (392 nucleotides) under Arabidopsis thaliana (thale cress). RNAcentral describes it as "ATSL308380". Lineage: Eukaryota; Viridiplantae; Streptophyta; Magnoliopsida; Brassicales; Brassicaceae. The record is from RNAcentral.
UAACAUUAAUAAAAUAAUGGUAUUUUUACGGGACGGGUUUGGCGGGACGGGUUUGACAGGAUGUUACUUAAUAACUAUUGUAGAUAGAUACAAUAAUAGAGUAUGGUUUAGAGUUAACCAUACAUUUGUUUCAGUAAUGUAAACCGGUAUAAGAUACACUAUUACUAGAUUUUUAAGACAUGUGAAAUAUAUAUAAGAUUCACCAUUUUUGCAGCCAUUUUAACAAAUAAAUCUUGGAGUUGGACUUAUUUACAACCCAAUGCCAUUAGCAUUAAAUCUUUUUUUCAAAAUAAUUAAUUUUACUUUAAAUUCUUAAUUUAAAUUGUCAAUCACAUUAUCAAUCAAAUUUAAUCCAAACAAACUUCACAUCAAUCCCUUAAAAUUAGCAUAAA